GGGUGGAGCCUGGCUCCACCUCUCCUAGACCCAUUUAAGAGCUGACCACCAGUGGGGAAGGAUCUCUUCUGGAAAUCCACUACACUGGAGUUUCCUAUGUGAGCCCAGGUUACGGUCUUUUAAAAUAGUUCCAAAGACUGUCUUCUGCCAAGGAAAUGCACAGUAUAACAACAAAGAGUGGAGUGAAUUGAAAGAUGAGAAGCUGAGUACAAAUUGUUUCCCAAGAGCAAACUGAACUAGAUUUACUGCAAACACCAAUGUGACUGAACAGGAACUUUGCAGUCACAGCCAAGCCCCAGGCAGUUACAGAGAUUCAUUCUAUCACUACAAAACAAAAGUUGCAGCUAACAAGAUGUUUUUUAAAUUAACAGUCUUCUGUUUGAAGAAAGGUAGAAUACUUUGCUGUUGUAUUUCUCUUAUGAGCACCUGUGACAUGGAGAAAAUUUGAGGCAUGACUACAGCACUUCUUCUUUUGUCAGGAUGGACAAUAUUUUAUGUUAAACUUCUGUUACUCAUGAGAUGCCAGAGUGAUAUUAUGAUAGACCUCCCUAUUUGUGUUUGUGUAAAUUUUUUAUAGGAUCUUGUAGAAAAGAUGCCUACACUGCCUGCCCUGUAGGGGCUAUUGGCUUCCAGUUUUCCUGUAAUGUCUGGUUUGCAGUAAAUGAAGGAAUCAACUUGAAGCAUGAUAAGGUCUUGCUAGCAAAUACUCACUUUUCUGAUCAAAGCUUGGCUUCACAACUUUCAGGCUGCAGUGUCCUAGCUAUACAGAAUAACUUACUUGCACAUGCUUGCACUGCUUUCCUAACACAGAUCAACAUCAGACAUGCAUGUCUAUCUCCUAAAAAAACUAGUUUCUCAAAGGCUGCCUGCAAGGUAGUUUCAGACUGCAGCUCAAAUUUCUGAUCCUUUAACAGGCUACCUGGUAUGCCAAUAUAAUUGCCAUCAGAAGAUAUGGCUGCAAAGAAAAACAGACAGAAAUGCUGAAAUAUUCUGCAGUGCAUACUGGCUGGCAGUAAUUGAUAGCAGCCCCUCCUCUGUACUGAAAAUGGCAGGCUCUGACUUAGGGCACUUAGCUGGAGAAUUCCUUUGCAUCAAGCUAAGCCCUGUCUGUUGCCCUGGCCUGAACUAGGCCAUGAAGGAAGUGGAAAGACAGAAUGAAGACAUCACCAGCUUAAUUAUUUCUAGAAUGUAUCUUGUAUUCUUUUCUUCUAACUUAACCGCGGUUUCUUUCCAUAACUUAAAUAAUUUGGUUUUUAGGGUAUUUUGUAGCUAACCAAAUUAUACGGAAGUUUUAGUAUGAUUUGCACUUCUAAGUGCCACAUUUGAACACUUUUGUAAUAGUGAAAAAGAAUUGAAAGACGUAUCUUCUUGCAUGAAGAAAAAACAUGAUACAAGUGGAAAAACUUUAGGGUUCACUUCUCACGUACAUAAUACAUUCUGUUCAUGCAGUGAUACUUCACUGAUCACAUUUCUCAUCCCACCUAUUGAUACUUUUAUGCAUUGUUUGCACACAAAACCUCUUUUCACUUGGGAAGAAGUAGACCAGUGAAAUCAGUAUGUUCAUCUCACUGCAGCCACUGGAUGAACAUCCAAUUCAGUGCUUUCUCUACACCUAGAUUUUAACAGUAUUUUCUAGCACAGCCCAUGGAAUAACUGUUACUAGGGUCCUGGCCAUUAAUGUUAAUGUAUAGCCAAGACAAAGAACUGAAGUAUGACAGAUUUGAUAUGAAAGAGAGCAUCAAAUUACAUUACACAUUCAGCUUCUACUGAGAGCUCUACUCAGAGGCUCUACCAGUCAUGGGGCAGUAGUGUCCAUGCGUUUCAUUGGCAUGAUGCACAAAGAAAGCAUCAGUUCAUGGAAACAUAUGGGACCCUGCUUGGGAUCAAGAUACACUUGUUAACUUAUUUUUCUGGCUACGCAGAACUGUCUUUUAUUCUUAUAUUUCAUUGCAGUUUUGUAACUUAAGCAACACAUACUGCAAAAAGAAUGUGAGGAAAUAAAAUGACUUUUCUCCUGCUUUCUUGCACUAAGAAGUUAUUUCCUAAGGCUAUCUACUUAACUGCAACUGCUGUCUGUGCCUGAAGAUUUUAAAAGAAAUGACAUUCUGGCUCAGCACAGCAGCUUGAUUUCUGAUUUUGAUUUCUUCUGUUUUCCAUCAAGCCCUUUGGGGCCCUUAUGCUACUGAGAUUGAGUAGAUCGUUAAAAGGAGAUGCAAUGGCUGCUAUGUUUUCCCUUGACUAUUUUUCAUGGUUGGCGGCAGGAAAGCUUCUUGCCACUCCCUUAUCUGAAGUUUAUGUAAUGAAUUGAUUGUAAGCCCUGCUCUGUUAGAACUUGUUCCAGUUUGGCAGAGAGUGUUUAUUCUUGAAUUACAAUGAUUCCUGUAGAAUUUUUUUCUUGGCUUCAGAUAUAGGAUGGGAAACUUCUUCCUAUCACAGGCGUUUUGGAAACUGUCCCCAAGAAGAAUCAGGCCCUCAAAAAAUAAUGAGAUGGUGUGGUUUUAUAGGAAAACUGAGGUUACAAAGUAUAAAAGAAUGGACCAGCUCUG
Molecule: non-coding RNA, 2546 nt
Organism: Meleagris gallopavo (turkey)
Lineage: Eukaryota; Metazoa; Chordata; Aves; Galliformes; Phasianidae
Source: RefSeq, a predicted model, not a curated record